GAUGAACGCUGGCGGCGUGCCUAAUACAUGCAAGUCGAGCGAACGGACGAGAAGCUUGCUUCUCUGAUGUUAGCGGCGGACGGGUGAGUAACACGUGGAUAACCUACCUAUAAGACUGGGAUAACUUCGGGAAACCGGAGCUAAUACCGUAUAAUAUUAUGAACCGCAUGGUUCAAAAGUGAAAGACGGUCUUGCUGUCACUUAUCGAUGGAUCCGCGCUGCAUUAGCUAGUUGGUAAGGUAACGGCUUACCAAGGCAACGAUGCAUAGCCGACCUGAGAGGGUGAUCGGCCACACUGGAACUGAGACACGGUCCAGACUCCUACGGGAGGCAGCAGUAGGGAAUCUUCCGCAAUGGGCGAAAGCCUGACGGAGCAACGCCGCGUGAGUGAUGAAGGUCUUCGGAUCGUAAAACUCUGUUAUUAGGGAAGAACAUAUGUGUAAGUAACUGUGCACAGCGUGACGGUACCUAAUCAGAAAGCCACGGCUAACUACGUG
Molecule: ribosomal RNA, 497 nt
Filed under: uncultured bacterium
Lineage: Bacteria
Description: partial 16S ribosomal RNA
Rfam family: Bacterial small subunit ribosomal RNA
Source: RNAcentral